Molecule: ribosomal RNA, 838 nt
Filed under: uncultured bacterium
Lineage: Bacteria
Description: bacterial SSU rRNA
Rfam family: Bacterial small subunit ribosomal RNA
Source: RNAcentral
GGCUCAGGAUGAACGCUGGCGGUAUGCUUAACACAUGCAAGUCGAACGAUGUUUUAGGACAUAGUGGCGGACGGGUGAGUAACGCGUGAGAAUCUGCCUUCAGGUCGGGGACAACAGUUGGAAACGACUGCUAAUACCGGAUGUGCCGAGAGGUGAAAGGCUUGCUGCCUGAAGAAGAGCUCGCGUCUGAUUAGCUAGUUGGUGUGGUAAGAGCGCACCAAGGCGACGAUCAGUAGCUGGUCUGAGAGGAUGAUCAGCCACACUGGGACUGAGACACGGCCCAGACUCCUACGGGAGGCAGCAGUGGGGAAUUUUCCGCAAUGGGCGAAAGCCUGACGGAGCAAUACCGCGUGAGGGAGGAAGGCUCUUGGGUCGUAAACCUCUUUUCUUAGGGAAUAAAAAAAUGAAGGUACCUAAGGAAUAAGCAUCGGCUAACUCCGUGCCAGCAGCCGCGGUAAUACGGAGGAUGCAAGCGUUAUCCGGAAUGAUUGGGCGUAAAGGGUCUGUAGGUGGCGGUGAAAGUCUGCGGUUAAAGAGUCUAGCUCAACUAGAUAAAAGCCGUGGAAACUACACAGCUAGAGUGCGGUAGGGGCAAGAGGAAUUCCUGGUGUAGCGGUGAAAUGCGUAGAUAUCAGGAAGAACACCGGUGGCGAAAGCGUCUUGCUAGACCUGUACUGACACUGAGGGACGAAAGCUAGGGGAGCGAAUGGGAUUAGAUACCCCAGUAGUCCUAGCCGUAAACGAUGGAUACUAGGCGUGGCUCGUAUCGACCCGAGCCGUGCCGGAGCUAACGCGUUAAGUAUCCCGCCUGGGGAGUACGCACGCAAGUGUGAAACUC